GCUAUUGUCCGUUUAGAGAUGCAAUUAGGUCAAUUAGCUAUGGCUGUAGGUAAAAGGGAAAAAGAUAAACUAUCGAGUCCACCUGACGCUAAUCCUAGGAUCUAGAACAAUCAAGGACCAAAACAAAGAGUCCAGAUCAACCAAUUAAAUAUAAUUCACAUCUUAAAGUCUGAAAAAUAAGUAGACAAUCAUGUCGGUACACCUGA
Molecule: long non-coding RNA, 206 nt
Filed under: Elaeis guineensis (African oil palm)
Lineage: Eukaryota; Viridiplantae; Streptophyta; Magnoliopsida; Arecales; Arecaceae
Description: long non-coding RNA (EGUI_LNC046111)
Source: RNAcentral